CCCCCCCCCCCCCCCCAAACCAAACCCCAACCCCCAGGAUAAAUACACACACCUCAGUGGCCUCAGUUCACACGCCUCUUCGUCAUCCUCUUCCUAGACGGCUGAAUCCUGAAUAUUGGUACGGCCAGGAUCCUCUCCUGUCCUCUCCGGGGACCGGAGAGGAUCCCUGUUCCGUAUUGCUUCUCUCUCUUUUUCCCAAUUUCUGUCUCGAUUAGUCCUUAGCUUUCUACUCCGUUACCGAUUAGCCGGCGGUACACCGAUCGAGGCCAGGAUCCGUGUCAACCGGAUCCGAAGAAGCCCGAAGAAAUCAAACAGGAGUUCCUUCUAUGUUCCAACAAUUUGAAGAACUUGGGAGCUUUCAUGAACGUCCGAGAGAGUGGGAUCAUCUAUGUUGUGGGGUUGGAGUUGCAUUAUCGGCAUUGACAAUUCAACAUGCAAAUUGUUCAUAUCAGAGUGAAAUAUGCACGAGGGCUUGUGGACACAAGGUUUUUCGAAUGGGAAAGUGCCUGACUUUUCGCUAGUCUAUACAUAUUGAAGAACAGUUUCGUUUUCCUUGGAAUUUGAAGACAUGUGGCUAUGAUGAUCACGUUGGCAAAGCUAUUUAAUGCAUAAGGAUUUGCGUACGUUGGUUGAUCAAUUCAUGCAAUAAGGGCAAGGUAUUAUUGAUCUGUUGCUGAAAUUGAAUACGGAGUAUUAGUUUUUCCAUGACAUUAGAAUAACAUAAAUCGCCACGAAAAUUUGAACUACGAAUCUCAGAAGGCGCCUCAUCUGCAAAUGAUUAUCUUCCAAAGAGUAGGCAGUUAUGCUAGCAGAGCCGCCAAGGUGUAGCAAAAGCAACGGUGCCCAUAUGACCCAUUGCUAUUUUCAUGAUCGCCUUGGGCAUCUGAGAGCUUGCCGAGAGCAACUGUUGCCGCCGCCAUUAAGUAGGCCAACUAGACUAGGGCACUAAUCCAUGGUGAUGAUAUAUACUUUCUACGAUUGCCGAAUAUGGGAAGAAUGACUUGUAAAGUGAGACUGAGUAGAACUAGUAUUCGAAGGUAUCACACAUCCUAGAGUCUCCUUACCCAUAUUAAGAAUCGGAUCCAUGUUAGAGUGAGAUGGAUUUGAUUUCGACAUUGGUGAGGAGACUCUGGGACGUGCGGGACCUCCAGAUACUGGUUCUACUUAGUCUCGCUUUACAAAUCAUUCUUUCCAUAUUUGGCAAUCGUAGAAAAUAUAUAUCAUCAUUAUGGAUUAGUGUCCUAGCUUGGUCAGCCUACUUAAUGGUUGAUGGUUGCAACAAUUGCUCUUGGCAAGCUCUCAGAUGCCCAAGGCGAUUAUGCAAAUAGCAAUAGAUUAUGGGCCAUAUGGGCACCGUUGCUUUUGCUACACCUUGGUGGCCCUAAUAACACAACUGCUUACUCUUUGGAAGAUAAUCAUUUCUGGGAUUAGUGGUUCAAAUUUUCUUGGCGAUUUAUAUUAUUCUAAUGUCGUGGAAAAAUUCAUGGUUCUCGUUCAUGUCGAUCCGGUGUUAGUAGCGGGAAUUAUCAAGUACGGGGAGACUACGUGGAUUCUCAAGUGGGUGAGCGACGAUAAAUACAAUGAUAUUAUACCCUUGGUGAUAUUGGAGAUUGUUAUGAUUAGUUUUGGCCUCGUAAACUUUGAAGGAAAUUGGGAAUUGUUGGGAGAGUUAUGGCUAUUAUGAUAUUACGAACCCUUUCCCAUGGGUUAAUAUCGAAGUUACUAAUAACUUGCAUCUAAUAACUUGUGUGAUGCAGUGGAGGUUUAAAUGGGACUCCUGUAUGAUUCUUUAUAUACAAAGGCAACCAAAGUAUAUGGCAAGGGAGGUUGUAUUUGCAACCAAAGUAUAAAGCAAGGGAGGUUGUAUUUUGCUUUGGAU
This is a long non-coding RNA of Rhododendron vialii, 1879 nucleotides long. RefSeq lists it as uncharacterized. The transcript is spliced from 3 exons. The record is from RefSeq and is a predicted model, not a curated record. Lineage: Eukaryota; Viridiplantae; Streptophyta; Magnoliopsida; Ericales; Ericaceae.